Molecule: ribosomal RNA, 415 nt
Filed under: uncultured bacterium
Lineage: Bacteria
Description: partial 16S ribosomal RNA
Rfam family: Bacterial small subunit ribosomal RNA
Source: RNAcentral
UAUUGGUCAAUGGGCGAGAGCCUGAACCAGCCAAGUCGCGUGAGGGAGUACUGCCCUAUGGGNUGUAAACCUCUUUUGUCGGGGANNCCNNNCNGGACGUGUCCGUCUGUGAGAGUACCCGAAGAGAAAGNNNCNGNUAACUCCGUGCCAGCAGCCGCGGUAAUACGGAGGAUGCGAGCGUUAUCCGGAUUUAUUGGGUUUAAAGGGUGCGCAGGCGGAUUUUUAAGUCAGCGGUCAAAUCGUGGGGCUCAACCCCAUCCAGCCGUUGAAACUGGGGAUCUAGAGUGUGCGAGAGGUAUGCGGAAUGCGUGGUGUAGCGGUGAAAUGCAUAGAUAUCACGCAGAACCCCGAUUGCGAAGGCAGCAUACCGGUGCACAACUGACGCUCAGGCACGAAAGCGUGGGUAUCGAACAGG